This 757-nucleotide long non-coding RNA is filed under the name Rattus norvegicus (Norway rat). RNAcentral's name for it is "long non-coding RNA NONRATT014334". The record is from RNAcentral. Lineage: Eukaryota; Metazoa; Chordata; Mammalia; Rodentia; Muridae.
CAGAGCUGGCCAUCUGGUUUUGUUUCCCCAGGGUCAGAAAGAUCCAUCCCUGAGAGGAAAAGAAGGGAAGACACCCUACCCCACGCCCCUGGAACUCACACCCCAGUGUGGAGGAUCACACGCAGACACACACAGACCGAGGCCUGCCCAUCCCGUAUAGCUGUGGCCCUGAAGCCCGUGGAGCAUCGGAACCACCUGAGACAGUAAUCUCUCACUGAGCCUGGAGUGCAUGUUCCACCAAACCUGGCUGACCAGCAAGUUCCCCUCAGGAUCUCCCUGUCUCUGCCGCCACAGUGCUGGGAUUUCAGGGCACUGUGAGAAAGUCUCUCACCGUGACCAAGUUUCUCUGAGUGUCCAGCCAACCCAGGCUCACCAGCUCCCUCCAGCUACCGCCCGUCCAUCAGGUCAGCUGCCAACCCCAGGCUGAACACCAACCCCAGCUAUGAGCUCCUGGAGGCAUGACUCCCUCAGGGCCAGCAGCUCCGAUCCCCUCCCAGUAGUUAUCAUUGGCAAUGGUCCCUCGGGUAUCUGUCUAUCCUACCUGCUCUCUGGCUACAUCCCCUAUGUGAAACCAGGAGCUGUCCACCCGCACCCCCUGCUGCAGAGGAAGCUGACCGAGGCUCCAGGGGUCUCCAUCUUGGAUCAGGACCUAGAAUACCUUUCCGAAGGCCUCGAAGGCCGAAGCCAGAGUCCUGUGGCCCUGCUCUUUGAUGCCCUCCUACGUCCUGACACAGACUUUGGAGGCAGCCUAGACUCU